Molecule: long non-coding RNA, 1150 nt
Organism: Pectinophora gossypiella (pink bollworm)
Lineage: Eukaryota; Metazoa; Arthropoda; Insecta; Lepidoptera; Gelechiidae
Exons: 2
Source: RefSeq, a predicted model, not a curated record
AAUGUAGAAAAGUUACAUAAACUGGCGUGUUGCGGUGGCAAGGUUAUUAUUAUUUUAAUAGCACACUGUUAAACAUUUUCACAUGUACAAUUUUCGAGUAAAUAAGUCAAAAAUUUGCCGCAGAUGGCACUAACUACUUGGCCGGACAAAUGGGGAGCGCUGAAGGAUCUCACCCGGUACAACGUUUAAGACAACAGGCCUGAACCCUCAGGCCACCCGCCCAGUUGGGCGCGCACCUCGGCUCAGGGCGUCGUUUGAGAGGAAGAAUAUUUGAAAGGAUUAAUCGACCCUAGUGGGUCAAUAGCGAUAAGCGCUGAAUGAGGGAAAUCGUCGACCACGCCGGCGGGGUCGGUAUCGGGGUCUUAUUCCAUGCUUUCACAUAAAAUAUACAUUGCCGGUAUGGAAUUUGAAGUGGCUACGGAAUUUGAGAAGCAGUAAAGCUAUCAUAGCGAUCUGUUUGCAGGAGUAGUAGUAAAAGAGAAUGGGGUUGAACCGGGUACAGCAGUUCUUAUACAAAAUUUCUUUCCAGUGGGCCUUUCUAACCUCUUUCUUCUAAUCCAUGGUAAAAGCAUAUCUUAGGCUCAGGAAAAUCAGCUUAUAAGAGAAAUAGUCGCUCUCAUGGUUUUGUAAAUGUUGGUUUUAACAACCAGACCAGACCAUAAAUCAAUCCAACGCGCAUUGGAGUUCCGAAGCGUGGUGGAGUUUGCUUCAUACAUUCAUACCCCUUAUGUUUAAAGGUUUUUUUUAUUAAGUAAAUUAACUACGUAUGGAAAAAUACAGUCUUGUUAUCUAUGUUUACUUACACAAUUAUCACUUUUUACCAAAUAAUUUAGAAUGUCACCAAAGUCAUCUCAAGAAUCGCGAGGUCCAAAGGUAUAUUAUCAUUAACGUCACUUUAAUUAUUAAAUAUUUACUAAUUUGUGCUAGAUAUAAGUAUUGGUAUGCAGAUUACAUUCCCGGAUAUAAUGACGCACCUAAAUUACUAUAAUGCAGUCAAAGUUAUCAGUAUAAUUCGAUAUUUAUCGUGGAAACGAAUAAUGCAAAUUCAAACCUAUAUAAAAGACAAGAUGUACAAAAGGUAAGGCUAAAAGAGAUCUCUUCCAACCAAUCUUGAAAUUCUGUGUAAUUGGUGAUUUUUACGUAGUCAAAU